AAAAUAAUAAACCAUAAUUAAACACCCUAAUUAAACAUUAAUUUGUAAACAAUACGAAACCCUCCUCUCUUCUCUUCUCUUCUCAACGAAGCCUCAUUCUCUUCUCAUCCUCAUCAAAUCAAUACAGUAUCUGUUGCGAUCUGUUGCUAACCGAAAUAUUCAAUCGUAUUCAAUCGUAUCAAUCGUUAUCAUCAUUUACUCCAUCCUCUUCGAUUUCCAUCUUCAACUUCAAGGUAUGUAUAACUUUGUUCUGUUUUGUUUGUUUGGUUAGUUUUUGUUAUGUGUGUGAAUUCCUUUUAAUUAUGAUAUUUUCAUCACAUUCUCAUCUCCCUUUGAUCAUCAUCAUCGUCUUCAAUCAGAAUUUGGGGAUAGAGCAGGUAAUUCUUCUUCUUAUCUAUUGGUUUUGUUAUUUGUUGCUUUCACAUCUAUGGGUUUUUUUUAUUUGUUGCUUUCACUAAUGUGUAGAUUAUCUAUGGGUUUUGUUAUUUGUUGCUUUCACUAAUGUGUAGAUUUCUAUAAGUUAUUAAUUCAAUCGAGUUACCAUAUCACUAUUCACUAGAUUUGAAUUGAGACAGUACAAUUUGUGAUUGAGAGAAGAAGUUUGCCCAAUUUGUGGAUGAGCAGCAAAUGCUUCUAUCAUACACUAUACACAGAAUAUUAAUAUGUGAAACACAUUUCUUUGAUGGUGUGAAAUGGUACUAUCAUCUAUUGACUGUUGAUUGGAAUAUUUCAUGAGGAACAAUCAUUCAUAACCUGUCCAAAUUUGGUAAAAUACUGUGAUUGUCGGAAUGUUAAGAUGGAUUAGAACAUAAAACCCAGUUUAUAAUGAAGAAAUAGGAUUUAUGUCAACAGCCUCACGAUUGUUUUGGAAGCUGCAGAGGCCUGCAGUAUAAAUAUUCUCUCCUGAUUCUCCUGUCCAGCUUUUGUCUCAGC
RNAcentral lists this long non-coding RNA (933 nucleotides) under Aquilegia coerulea. RNAcentral describes it as "long non-coding RNA (ACOE_LNC000496)". The record is from RNAcentral. Lineage: Eukaryota; Viridiplantae; Streptophyta; Magnoliopsida; Ranunculales; Ranunculaceae.